Vicia faba (fava bean) is the source of this 447-nucleotide non-coding RNA. NCBI's taxonomy places the organism in Eukaryota, Viridiplantae, Streptophyta, Magnoliopsida, Fabales, Fabaceae. The record is from the annotation of a GenBank genome assembly.
UUAAAGAGAGCGUGAUGUGAAGAUUGAAGAUUGGAAUUGCAGAUUCACAUUGAUGAUGGAAGUGCAGAAUGAAGCGGUUGAUGGAGCUUGAAGUGUGGUUAUGGAAAAAGUGUAUUGAUGCGGUUGUAGAGAGAAAGCAGAGGGAAGAUUGAAGACAGAGCUUUUUGAGUUGCUGGUGAUGAUUGAAGAUGCAGAGAGUUGAGAUGAAGAUGAUAUUGAAGAAUGAUGAUGAAGAUGCGGAUUAUGAUGGUUGAGGAUGGAAGAGAGAGAGAAUGGAGAUCGAGCCCCAACUGAAAAGGUUUCUGCCCUGUUUUCGGACAGAUUUUGAGAAAGGAAGGCGCAUAGAAUUUGGCAUGGAGGAAACUCAGAAUCGAGUGCAACACGAAUUUGAAAGAAGAGGUUGCAGGGUUGCGGUUUAUUUGUGAAGCCACUUUGAAGAGGAUGCAU